UUGUGAUCAUAUGAUGUACAAUAAAUCUUCAAUAAAGCUUUACUUUUAUGUAAUAAUUUCCCCCAUUAUCUUAACACUGAUCUUCAAGACUUUAGGUGAAUUUGUUCCACUAUCCUGCACUACUUCUAUUAGAUUUUACACAUCGUCCAUGGGGGUUUUACCAUAGUGUUUGAAAAAUGUCAACAAAUAAAGAACCUUAUGACAUAAAUAAUGCGUGUUAUUAAAAUAAAGCUGGUAGGGAGUACAUUACUGUGUGUGAUUUAUUUUAAUUUCCUAAAGUUAAAAGCAAAUAUACCAGCCAUUUAUAAAGUUCUGCUCAGCAAGAGUACAUAUUUAAAAGUCAUGUUGUCCCAAGGAUUGACACCGUUUACAACUUCUGAUGAUCAAGCUUUAUGGCAUAACUGCAAGACCACAAUCACUAGCAGACACUAUCAACAUGCAAAAUCAGAAUAGUCUACCAUAUGCAUAAAUUCUGUAUCUUUUAUAACAGAUAAAGAUUAUGAGAAUGAACUUGACUUCAGAAGGAUCUGUGCACCAUGACGAUGCUUUGCAUUUAUUGGUGACUGAAAGAACCUAAACAUUCUACGGUUGCAGGCAGCUCUCCAAAUGUGGUCUUGUGCAGCGUUUGAACCAUAUAAAUGCAGUCACUUAUGACCUCUGCUUUGGAAAACAUCUUAUUUGGAGACUUGUGUCUUAGUUUGAAGAAUUUGGCCCGUUGCUGAUUUAAAUACAUGUACUACAGUGGGGCCCUGGUGAUCGGGAUGCCAUUAAUCCAGAUACUUUACCUUUCAGACAAUUUUUUGUGGAACACGGAAGUUUUAUACAUUUUUUUGCAUUGUUAAUCUGGAAAUUCAUGUUCAAGAUCUGGCAUUACUGCAAAACAUUCACAUGCAUUGAAAAUUGUAUCAUUAAUUCGGACAGCAAUUUUUUUGGACGGUCAGUGUCAGACAAUUUUAACAAGGUAUCAAUUGUAAAGAAAACAUAAGCAAUGUUUCUGAUUAAAACAAUAUAUCAGUGUCCUGUCACCACUUCCCCAAUUUUAAUAGGUGGUUGCCUCCUCUAUGCAUGUGACAUGUCAUUUGAACAGCACAUGCUGAUAGAGACAUUGUAUUGCCAAUUUUUGCAAUGCAGCACGUACAAAUUUGCAGUAUAUUUUUUAAUCAUUUAGAUCUACAGGCCAUUAAUAGAUUUGACAUCAUACUGUGUGGACACAGUUUUUUGAAUUGCUACACAUAUCAGAUGUACCUCAUUGUGAGUUAAUAUCAGCUUGCUCCAAUUAAAAGAGACUCAGUGUUUAUAAAUGAGAAUUAUUCUAGACUAGCUGCAAAAAUGUGGUUUCUUAUUUAAGACUGUUGAUUCAAGUAAAACAUAUUUAGCAAGUUUUAACAAUGAUCAGAUCAGUUAUUUUCAUGUAUAAAAUGUCACAUAUGCUUCGUAUUUAGAUAUUUUAUUGAAAAUAAAUAUUAACGGCAAA
Ostrea edulis (European flat oyster) is the source of this 1474-nucleotide long non-coding RNA. RefSeq lists it as uncharacterized. NCBI's taxonomy places the organism in Eukaryota, Metazoa, Mollusca, Bivalvia, Ostreida, Ostreidae. The record is from RefSeq and is a predicted model, not a curated record. The transcript is spliced from 2 exons.